This 200-nucleotide ribosomal RNA is filed under the name uncultured bacterium. RNAcentral describes it as "partial 16S ribosomal RNA". It matches the Rfam family "Bacterial small subunit ribosomal RNA", at positions 8 to 207 of the family's 1533-position model. The record is from RNAcentral.
AGAGUUUGAUCCUGGCUCAGAACGAACGUUAGCGGCGCGCCUAACACAUGCAAGUCGAGCGAGAAAGGGCUUCGGCCCCGGUAAAGCGGCGCACGGGUGAGUAACACGUAGGUAAUCUACCCCCGAGUGGUGGAUAACUCUCCGAAAGGAGAGCUAAUACAGCAUAAGACCACGGCCUUUUCGGAGGCUGAGGUCAAAGC